UACAUAGGGGGCAAGCGUUAUCCGGAAUUAUUGGGUGUAAAGGGUGCGUAGACGGAGAAACAAGUUGGUUGUGAAAUCCCUCGGCUCAACCGAGGAACUGCAACCAAAACUAUUUCCCUUGAGCGUCGGAGAGGAAAGUGGAAUUCCUAGUGUAGCGGUGAAAUGCGUAGAUAUUAGGAGGAACACCAGUGGCGAAGGCGACUUUCUGGACGAUAACUGACGUUGAGGCACGAAAGUGCGGGGAUCGAACAGG
RNAcentral lists this ribosomal RNA (253 nucleotides) under uncultured bacterium. Its description in RNAcentral is "partial 16S ribosomal RNA". It matches the Rfam family "Bacterial small subunit ribosomal RNA", at positions 524 to 776 of the family's 1533-position model. The record is from RNAcentral.